RNAcentral lists this long non-coding RNA (683 nucleotides) under Chinchilla lanigera (long-tailed chinchilla). RNAcentral describes it as "lncRNA (ENSCLAG00000022867.1)". The record is from RNAcentral. Lineage: Eukaryota; Metazoa; Chordata; Mammalia; Rodentia; Chinchillidae.
UCUCCCACUCCCAUCCCCUCACAAACCACGGUGCAUGUCCACAUCCUCACUCAGUACUGUCAUAAUGGAUCUGAUCCUGGGCGUAACUUCCUGCUCAUCCCCACAGCAACAGACUGUGACAGAAAAUAAUGGAUUUUAAGAACAGGCCAGUGAGACAGAAAAUGGGCAGUGAGAAAGAAAGUGCAAAGCUGGGUAAGAGGAAAAGAAAGAAGCUGGAGGAUGUUUGUUCUGAGAAAACUGAAAAUACUUUGUUUAAAUUGGAUCCCAUUAUACCACUUAAGGAAAACUUACCAGGUAAGUCUCCUGGUUUGAAUGUUAACUCUUUCUGUUUGGGUUUGUUUGGUUUGAUUUGUUUUUUUUGUUGUUGUUGUUGUUGUUUUUUUUCUUGAUUUACAGCUCCAUGCAAAUAGUCUAUCUUUUCAAAAAGUAUGUUCUAUCAAUACUCUCCAAUGGUGACUUCAUAAGACAUUCAGAGUCCACCAGAGCCAUCCUCUGAGCUCCACAGUACCCAUUUCCCAAGACGCUUUAUAUCUUAUUAUUUCCAUUAGAUGCAUUCUAUGAUGGCAAACUGAACUAUUAGAAAGAAGUUACCGAGAACACAUGAGGAGAGGAACACCCACAGGUAGCAAUAUUAAAACACUUUUUACUCUCAAACAGACAAUGAAUGAAUUCUCCAGUUCUAG